RNAcentral lists this long non-coding RNA (714 nucleotides) under Prunus persica (peach). RNAcentral's name for it is "long non-coding RNA (PPER_LNC003848)". Lineage: Eukaryota; Viridiplantae; Streptophyta; Magnoliopsida; Rosales; Rosaceae. The record is from RNAcentral.
CAGGCGGGAGAAGACUCUGCUUAGCAGGGCCUCUUUCAGAGACAUGUAUUCGGCAAUCAAUGCAGUGUCAGGGCAUUAUGUUAGUUUUGGACCAACAGCUCCACUUCCGGCAAAGAGAAAGGCGAGGAUUUUGGAAGAGGUGGAAACUGCAGAGAAGGCCUUAUUAAGAGGCAGGUAAAUUCAAAAACAAAAAACAAAAAAAGAUUAUUGAUCAGUAAUCAUGGAGAGAGGAGCAUUUUUUUUUUUGGUAUCAUUAAUAUAAUUAGUAUUUUGAACUGUUGCAUUUUUUUACAUUUUGUUUGUUAAUUAUGAGGUUACAGAGUGAGAUUAAUGCCGGGGGUUUUUAUCAUCAUGAAAACCCUGUUUGAUACAUUUACUACAUUCAUAUCCUCAACUAACACUGUUAUAUAUAUAUAUAUAUAUAUAUAUAUGUGAGUAUAUUUAGAUUCUGAAUUGUCAAUUGCAUUUUAAAAAAAUUAAUAAAUUGUCAAUUGCUAACCUCAAAUUGAACCGCCUGUUACACAUGGCUCAGUUUAUGUAACUUUCGUAGCUAAAAAAAGCUCAUUGCUAUCUCACUGCGCUGAAAAGUUAUGUGCAUUGUAUGUCAUGGCUUGGAAAGAUUCAACAAAAAAAGAGGUCGAUAAAAUUUAUAUAAAUAAAUAAAUAAAGCAACGGUUUUGUCAAAUUUAAGAAGAGGAAGAAGUUUUUUCACAC